CAGCAGCCGCGGGAAAACGAAGGGGGCUAGCGUUGUUCGGAAUUACUGGGCGUAAAGCGCACGUAGGCGGAUAUUUAAGUCAGGGGUGAAAUCCCGCAGCUCAACUGCGGAACUGCCUUUGAUACUGGGUAUCUUGAGUAUGGAAGAGGUUAGUGGAAUUGCGAGUGUAGAGGUGAAAUUCGUAGAUAUUCGCAGGAACACCAGUGGCGAAGGCGACAUACUGGAUCAUUACUGACGCUGAGGCUCGAAAGCGUGGGGAGCAAACAGGAUUAGAUACCCGGGUAGUCCCUGUCUCUUAUAC
RNAcentral lists this ribosomal RNA (301 nucleotides) under uncultured bacterium. RNAcentral describes it as "partial 16S ribosomal RNA". It matches the Rfam family "Bacterial small subunit ribosomal RNA", at positions 509 to 807 of the family's 1533-position model. The record is from RNAcentral.